Molecule: ribosomal RNA, 555 nt
Filed under: uncultured bacterium
Lineage: Bacteria
Description: bacterial SSU rRNA
Rfam family: Bacterial small subunit ribosomal RNA
Source: RNAcentral
CGCGCAGAACCUUACCAGCUUUUGACAUGUCCGGUUUGAUCGACAGAGAUGUCUUUCUUCAGUUCGGCUGGCCGGAACACAGGUGCUGCAUGGCUGUCGUCAGCUCGUGUCGUGAGAUGUUGGGUUAAGUCCCGCAACGAGCGCAACCCUCGCCCCUAGUUGCCAUCAUUCAGUUGGGAACUCUAGGGGGACUGCCGGUGAUAAGCCGCGAGGAAGGUGGGGAUGACGUCAAGUCCUCAUGGCCCUUACAGGCUGGGCUACACACGUGCUACAAUGGCGGUGACAAUGGGCAGCGAAAGGGUGACCUCGAGCUAAUCCCAAAAAGCCGUCUCAGUUCAGAUUGUACUCUGCAACUCGAGUACAUGAAGGUGGAAUCGCUAGUAAUCGUGGAUCAGCAUGCCACGGUGAAUACGUUCCCGGGCCUUGUACACACCGCCCGUCACACCAUGGGAGUUGGGUUUACCCGAAGGCGUCGCGCUAACCGCAAGGAGGCAGGCGACCACGGUAGGCUCAGCGACUGGGGUGAAGUCGUAACAAGGUAGCCGUAGGGGAACC